Molecule: ribosomal RNA, 382 nt
Filed under: uncultured eukaryote
Lineage: Eukaryota
Description: partial 18S ribosomal RNA
Rfam family: Eukaryotic small subunit ribosomal RNA
Source: RNAcentral
UGUAAGCGUAUACCAAAGUUGUUGCAGUUAAAACGCUCGUAGUCGGAAUUUGGCAGUUCCGGAUGUGUGCACGUCGUGUGCGCACUUCGCGGGGAUUGCUUUUGUGGUCUUGCGUAGGAUGAGGCACUUUUAUUAGUGAACGUCCUCACGCAACCACUUUUUACUGUGAGAAAAUCAGAGUGCUCAAAGCAGGCAUUUGCCGUGAAUGUAUAAGCAUGGAAUAAUAGAAUAGGACUUGGUUCUAUUUUGUUGGUUUGUUGGGACUGAGUAAUGAUUAAGAGGGACAGUUGGGGGCAUUUGUAUUUCGGUGCUAGAGGUGAAAUUCUUAGAUUACCGAAAGACAAACUGCUGCGAAAGCGUCUGCCAAGGAUGUUUUCAUUGA